Molecule: non-coding RNA, 125 nt
Organism: Pelobates cultripes (western spadefoot toad)
Lineage: Eukaryota; Metazoa; Chordata; Amphibia; Anura; Pelobatidae
Source: the annotation of a GenBank genome assembly
GUGAGGGAGUGACAGAGUGAGAGAGGGAGUGACUAGUGACAGAGUGAGGGGGUGACUGUCACUAGUCACCCCCUCUCUCACUCUGUCAUUAGUCACCUCCUCUCUCACUCUGUCACCAGUCAUCC